GUUAAAAUGAAUCCAUGGUUGGAAUACCUGCUUUUCACUUGAGCUUUUUGUUCCUUAAUCCUUCUGUGCCCUUUUUUUUUUUUUUUUUCUUUUCUUUUUUUAUUUUUGGACGAUGAGUGCCAGUUCUCCGGCACAUUCACUGGGCCCAACAGUGAAAUUGAAAAGUUGGGAAAUGCCUCAACGCCACAUACAAUAAUUGACAAUUAGUCUAAUUUUACUAUUUCUGCUUUUAGAUCCCCAAGAAGGAGAAGCUUUUCGCGAAGCCGGAGCAGGUCUCUUUCUAGAGAUAGGAGAAGAGAAAGGUCUCUGUCUCGUGAGAGAAAUCACAAGCCGUCUCGAUCCUUCUCUAGGUCUCGUAGCCGAUCUAGGUCAAAUGAAAGGAAAUAGAAGACCAGUUGGCAAAAGUGGUGUACAGGAAAUAACUUCAUUUGACAGGAGUAUGUACAGGAAAUUAAAGUUUUGUUUGAGACUUCAUAAGCUUGGU
Molecule: long non-coding RNA, 484 nt
Filed under: Rattus norvegicus (Norway rat)
Lineage: Eukaryota; Metazoa; Chordata; Mammalia; Rodentia; Muridae
Description: long non-coding RNA NONRATT017171
Source: RNAcentral